GCGCGAGUAGCUCAAUUGGAUAGAGUGUUGGCCUCCGAAGCCGAAGGUUGCGGGUUCAACUCCCGCCUCGCGCACCA
This 77-nucleotide transfer RNA is filed under the name Verrucomicrobiales bacterium. RNAcentral describes it as "tRNA-Arg". It matches the Rfam family "tRNA". Rfam says of the family: Transfer RNA (tRNA) molecules are approximately 80 nucleotides in length. Their secondary structure includes four short double-helical elements and three loops (D, anti-codon, and T loops). Further hydrogen bonds mediate the characteristic L-shaped molecular structure. tRNAs have two regions of fundamental functional importance: the anti-codon, which is responsible for specific mRNA codon recognition, and the 3' end, to which the tRNAs corresponding amino acid is attached (by aminoacyl-tRNA synthetases). tRNAs cope with the degeneracy of the genetic code in two manners: having more than one tRNA (with a specific anti-codon) for a particular amino acid; and 'wobble' base-pairing, i.e. permitting non-standard base-pairing at the 3rd anti-codon position. Lineage: Bacteria; Pseudomonadati; Verrucomicrobiota; Verrucomicrobiia; Verrucomicrobiales. RNAcentral also lists the same sequence under 2 other names. The record is from RNAcentral.